RNAcentral lists this ribosomal RNA (429 nucleotides) under Actinomycetes bacterium. RNAcentral's name for it is "Actinobacteria bacterium partial 16S ribosomal RNA". It matches the Rfam family "Bacterial small subunit ribosomal RNA", at positions 355 to 776 of the family's 1533-position model. The record is from RNAcentral. Lineage: Bacteria; Bacillati; Actinomycetota; Actinomycetes.
UAGGGAAUCUUCCGCAAUGGGCGAAAGCCUGACGGAGCAACGCCGCGUGAGUGAUGAAGGUCUUCGGAUCGUAAAACUCUGUUAUUAGGGAAGAACAAAUGUGUAAGUAACUAUGCACGUCUUGACGGUACCUAAUCAGAAAGCCACGGCUAACUACGUGCCAGCAGCCGCGGUAAUACGUAGGUGGCAAGCGUUAUCCGGAAUUAUUGGGCGUAAAGCGCGCGUAGGCGGUUUUUUAAGUCUGAUGUGAAAGCCCACGGCUCAACCGUGGAGGGUAAUUGGAAACUGGAAAACUUGAGUGCAGAAGAGGAAAGUGGAAUUCCAUGUGUAGCGGUGAAAUGCGCAGAGAUAUGGAGGAACACCAGUGGCGAAGGCGACUUUCUGGUCUGUAACUGACGCUGAUGUGCGAAAGCGUGGGGAUCAAACGGG